Dermacentor albipictus is the source of this 406-nucleotide long non-coding RNA. RefSeq lists it as uncharacterized. The record is from RefSeq and is a predicted model, not a curated record. NCBI's taxonomy places the organism in Eukaryota, Metazoa, Arthropoda, Arachnida, Ixodida, Ixodidae.
AAAAACGACAACUGGCAGGUCGAUCCUAUCUUGCGAUGUCUGAACUGAAUGCAUCCGUGUUACUGGCACUUUUUAUACUUUCGACAACACAGAUUUCCUAUUCAUACAGUUAUUGCAACUUGGAGUACAUUGGCAUGGAUUGCAGUUCUGGCAAUCACACCUGCCCACCAGGUUGCCAAUGCAGUCGUUACACACCCGUUGGAAGGAAAGUCGAAAAAUGGUUGUGUGGUCCACAUAAGGUUAACAGGUUUAUGUAGACUGCCAUGUAUGCUUCAUAGCACGUGAUGAAAACGAGAUUCGGGCAUCCUCUUUGAACUACGAUUAGUUAUAAAAAACAAGGGUGCUGAUCCAAUGUACGUGUUCGAGUCCACGGAAAGCGAACUUUGAGGAAAAGGGAGAAAUAAAU